This 879-nucleotide ribosomal RNA is filed under the name Triticum aestivum (bread wheat). RNAcentral describes it as "partial small subunit ribosomal RNA". Lineage: Eukaryota; Viridiplantae; Streptophyta; Magnoliopsida; Poales; Poaceae. The record is from RNAcentral.
AUGAGAAUUAGCAGUGAUGAGGAUGUGCAACAUAUUAUCAGAGCUAGUGCUGAGCAUAAGAUGCUUGUAGUCAUGGUUGACCAUACAGAUUUCAUCAGCAACUUCAGGUCUGACCUGGUGUGCACAUUGCCCCUAUCUUUCAUAACAUCAACAACAAGUUUUGCAGCAGCAAAUGCAUCCCCUUCCCAUAGCCUAGUUUCAGUCUUUGUAGAAGAUCCUUUGUCAGAGAUUGUAGCAAAUGGAACAGACCCAGAGAGUUUGCUUAUUGAGGGUGCUGAGCAGAACAUGCUAACUGAAGAUCCCUUGUUAGAGAUUGCACCAAUUGGAACAGACCCACAGAGUUUGCUUAUUGAGGGUGCUGAGCACAACAUGCUAAUUGAAGAUGGAGAAACAGUUAUUGAAGAUGUAGUUGUUUCGGAUUCUGAUUUCAGUGACAGUGACUAUGACAUAGAUGAUGGUGAUGAUGAUCUUUAUAAUGACAACAUUGACUUUGAUGUUGAUGAAGAAGCUGAUCAGGAUGAGGAUGAUGUGGAGCCUGAAUACUUGCUUGAGGAUGAAGAUCUCAACCUAUCAACUGAGCAAGCAGAUGAACUUAGGUACAAGUUUAAAGCUUUCAAUGCAAAGGUGGACAUGAUUUCCCCUGUGUUUAAAGUAGGGAUGGUAUUUGCUGAUGUGGUUGAGCUAAGACAUGCACUGACUGCAUAUUCAGUUAGAAACAGAGUGCAGAUCAAGAAGAUAAAGAAUGACAAGAGGAGACUUGAAGCAGUUUGUGAAAAUGGUUGCCCAUGGUUUCUGUAUGCUGGCAAUGACAACAGGACAGGGGGUUUCUCAUCAAGACUUACUAUGGAGAACAUAUAUGUCAGAAGAAAUGGAAGAUAA